GAUGAAGAACGUAGCGAAAUGCGAUAAGUAAUGUGAAUUGCAGAAUUCCGUGAAUCAUCGAAUCUUUGAACGCACAUUGCGCCCGUCAGUAUUCUGGCGGGCAUGCCUGUUCGAGCGUCAUUACGCCCCUCAAGUCCCCUGUGGACUUGGUGUUGGGGAUCGGCGAGGCUGGUUUUCCAGCACAGCCGUCCCUUAAAUUAAUUGGCGGUCUCGCCGUGGCCCUCCUCUGCGCAGUAGUAAAACACUCGCAACAGGAGCCCGGCGCGGUCCACUGCCGUAAAACCCCCCAACUUUUUAUAGUUGACCUCGAAUCAGGUAGGACUACCCGCUGAACUUAAGCAUAUCAAUAAGCGGAGGA
Molecule: unclassified non-coding RNA, 358 nt
Filed under: soil metagenome
Description: partial contains 5.8S ribosomal RNA, internal transcribed spacer 2, and large subunit ribosomal RNA
Rfam family: 5.8S ribosomal RNA (bases 1-120)
Source: RNAcentral